RNAcentral lists this ribosomal RNA (710 nucleotides) under Enterococcus sp. RNAcentral describes it as "bacterial SSU rRNA". It matches the Rfam family "Bacterial small subunit ribosomal RNA", at positions 89 to 785 of the family's 1533-position model. The record is from RNAcentral. Lineage: Bacteria; Bacillati; Bacillota; Bacilli; Lactobacillales; Enterococcaceae.
AGAGGAGUGGCGAACGGGUGAGUAACACGUGGGUAACCUGCCCAUCAGAAGGGGAUAACACUUGGAAACAGGUGCUAAUACCGUAUAACAAUCGAAACCGCAUGGUUUCGUUUUGAAAGGCGCUUUACGGUGCCGCUGAUGGAUGGACCCGCGGUGCAUUAGCUAGUUGGUGAGGUAACGGCUCACCAAGGCCACGAUGCAUAGCCGACCUGAGAGGGUGAUCGGCCACAUUGGGACUGAGACACGGCCCAAACUCCUACGGGAGGCAGCAGUAGGGAAUCUUCGGCAAUGGACGAAAGUCUGACCGAGCAACGCCGCGUGAGUGAAGAAGGUUUUCGGAUCGUAAAACUCUGUUGUUAGAGAAGAACAAGGGUGAGAGUAACUGUUCACCCCUUGACGGUAUCUAACCAGAAAGCCACGGCUAACUACGUGCCAGCAGCCGCGGUAAUACGUAGGUGGCAAGCGUUGUCCGGAUUUAUUGGGCGUAAAGCGAGCGCAGGCGGUUUCUUAAGUCUGAUGUGAAAGCCCCCGGCUCAACCGGGGAGGGUCAUUGGAAACUGGGAGACUUGAGUGCAGAAGAGGAGAGUGGAAUUCCAUGUGUAGCGGUGAAAUGCGUAGAUAUAUGGAGGAACACCAGUGGCGAAGGCGGCUCUCUGGUCUGUAACUGACGCUGAGGCUCGAAAGCGUGGGGAGCAAACAGGAUUAGAUAC